AACCAAAAUACGGCGGACCAACUUGGAAUUUGAGCAUGUUUUAAAAAGAAAACAACACUUCCAACAUCGGAAUCCUGGAACACAUUGAUAAAGGAAAAUCCACCACCGAGCAGGAAGCUCUUUUAUUCCUACGAAACGCAAGCAAUGUUUUACGCGGUGACGAACCAUCGGAUAAAUCUUUUGUAACACCUCGCUGUUGGUUCAAAGCGAUCCACUCCACUUGUGCUGAUGCCGGCGUUUGUAAUAAAGGCUCUGUGGUAAAACGCCAACAGUAAGAGUCUUGUUUGGCUUUGUAAAAAGUGCGGAAGUAAUCGAGUUCGUCGGGGAAAGAUAAGCAGUGUGAAACUGGCUACCAAAAUACGGCUGAUAACAGUAUUUCCAGCAUCGGCAUCUUGGCACAUAUUGAGGAAACACCACCACUGAGCGGAUGCUAUUCUAUUCCGACAAAUCGCACGCGAACAACAGUGACGGACUUUCUGGUGCAGGAGCGCGGCAUCACUUCGCUUUCACGGUGGAAGUGGAAAAGACGCUGGUACCUGUCGACGGAACGGUGGUCAUUUUAGGCGUUUCGGCACAAACGGAUUACGUUACGGAUCGAAGAGCAAGCCGUUACAGUGUGGAAUCGACUCAAAGGCACCGUCCGCCGCGGGUGGUUUUUGCUUAUUAUUCAAUAGAUAGAAGAUCCAUUUCGGCAACACCAACGUUUCCGUCCCCCACGCUCACCUU
Armigeres subalbatus is the source of this 726-nucleotide long non-coding RNA. RefSeq lists it as uncharacterized. The record is from RefSeq and is a predicted model, not a curated record. The transcript has 3 exons. NCBI's taxonomy places the organism in Eukaryota, Metazoa, Arthropoda, Insecta, Diptera, Culicidae.